RNAcentral lists this ribosomal RNA (207 nucleotides) under uncultured bacterium. RNAcentral's name for it is "partial 16S ribosomal RNA". It matches the Rfam family "Bacterial small subunit ribosomal RNA", at positions 568 to 774 of the family's 1533-position model. The record is from RNAcentral.
CGUGCAGGCGGUUGAUUAAGUUGGUUGUUAAAUUCCCUGGCUCAACUAGGGUUCAGCAAUCAAUACUGGUCGGCUAGAGGGCAAGAGAGAGAAGUGGAAUUCUCGGAGUAGCGGUAAAAUGCAUAGAUCUCGAGAGGAACACCAGUUGCGAAGGCGGCUUUUUGGCUUGUCCCUGACGCUGAAGCGCGAAAGCGUGGGGAGCAAACA